GGACGAAUCUUCCGCAAUGGGCGAAAGCCUGACGGAGCGAUGCCGAGUGUGGGAUGAAGCGGCUUUGCCGUGUAAACCACUGUCAGGAGAUAGAAACAAUGAUCAUCUUCAGAGGAAGGGGCGACUAACUCUGUGCCAGCAGUCGCGGUAAGACAGAGGCCCCGAGCGUUAAUCGGAAUCACUGGGCUUAAAGGGUGCGUAGGCGGUCUCGCAAGUGUCGUGUGAAAGCCCACUGCUCAACGGUGGAACA
RNAcentral lists this ribosomal RNA (250 nucleotides) under uncultured bacterium. Its description in RNAcentral is "partial 16S ribosomal RNA". It matches the Rfam family "Bacterial small subunit ribosomal RNA", at positions 355 to 622 of the family's 1533-position model. The record is from RNAcentral.